RNAcentral lists this ribosomal RNA (399 nucleotides) under uncultured soil bacterium. RNAcentral describes it as "bacterial SSU rRNA". It matches the Rfam family "Bacterial small subunit ribosomal RNA", at positions 26 to 439 of the family's 1533-position model. The record is from RNAcentral.
AGAACGAACGCUGGCGGCAUGCCUAAUACAUGCAAGUCGAACGAACACUUCGGUGUUAGUGGCGCACGGGUGCGUAACGCGUGGGAAUCUGCCCUUGGGUUCGGAAUAACAGUUGGAAACGACUGCUAAUACCGGAUGAUAUCGAAAGAUCAAAGAUUUAUCGCCCAGGGAUGAGCCCGCGUAGGAUUAGCUAGUUGGUGAGGUAAAGGCUCACCAAGGCGACGAUCCUUAGCUGGUCUGAGAGGAUGAUCAGCCACACGUGGGACUGAGACCACGGCCCAGACUCCGUACGGGAGGCAGCGAGGUAGGGAAUAUUGGGACAAGUGGGCGACAAGCCUGAUCCAGCAAUCGCCGCGUGAGUGACGUGAACGGUCCGUUAGGGUUAGUAAAGUCGUUACC